AGUGGGGAAUAUUGGACAAUGGGCGCAAGCCUGAUCCAGCAAUGCCGCGUGGGUGAAGAAGGUCUUCGGAUUGUAAAGCCCUUUCGGCGGGGACGAUGAUGACGGUACCCGCAGAAGAAGCCCCGGCUAACUUCGUGCCAGCAGCCGCGGUAAUACGAAGGGGGCUAGCGUUGCUCGGAAUUACUGGGCGUAAAGGGCGCGUAGGCGGCCUUGUCAGUCAGGCGUGAAAUUCCUGGGCUCAACCUGGGGGCUGCGCUUGAUACGGCAGGGCUAGAGGACGGAAGAGGCUCGUGGAAUUCCCAGUGUAGAGGUGAAAUUCGUAGAUAUUGGGAAGAACACCGGUGGCGAAGGCGGCGAGCUGGUCCGUUACUGACGCUGAGGCGCGACAGCGUGGGGAGCAAA
This 402-nucleotide ribosomal RNA is filed under the name uncultured Roseomonas sp. RNAcentral describes it as "bacterial SSU rRNA". It matches the Rfam family "Bacterial small subunit ribosomal RNA", at positions 353 to 772 of the family's 1533-position model. Lineage: Bacteria; Pseudomonadati; Pseudomonadota; Alphaproteobacteria; Acetobacterales; Roseomonadaceae. The record is from RNAcentral.